UUGGAGAACUUCGAGCAGAAA
RNAcentral lists this small RNA (21 nucleotides) under Arabidopsis thaliana (thale cress). Its description in RNAcentral is "ATSL243840". Lineage: Eukaryota; Viridiplantae; Streptophyta; Magnoliopsida; Brassicales; Brassicaceae. The record is from RNAcentral.